This 3794-nucleotide long non-coding RNA is filed under the name Homo sapiens (human). RNAcentral describes it as "non-protein coding lnc-LSG1-5:1". The record is from RNAcentral. Lineage: Eukaryota; Metazoa; Chordata; Mammalia; Primates; Hominidae.
UCGGAGCUCACUGAGAAGUGGGUGCAAGUCUCCAGGCAUAGAGUGCCACUCAUCUGAACCUUGCUGGGCUUCCCUUUGGGGCUGAGAAGGAGCCCCGGCGUUCCCAGCAGAUUGGAAGCUCCCUCUAUGGUCUCCUCGGCAACCACAGGCUGCUGGCCUCUCUGAGCAGCGGUCUGGGGCUGAGCUGCCAGGUGACUGCACUGUCCCCAUCCCUGCUCGGCUGCAGCAGCAAAUUCACAUGCCGUAAUGAAUGGUCCCAGCCUAAGACGGGGGAUCUUAGGAAUGAAGGUGUUGUGGGGGUUAACAUGGCUUCUGGGAAGGAAAUUCAAGUUGUAUCCACAGGAAGAACUCAUACAUACCUGGGUUCAUCUGGCAAACUAGAAAGCAAUGGCCCAAGGAGGGCAUCAGGGCAGGGGAGCAGAGAAGCCUCUCAGAGAGCACUCGCCCUAAGGGAAGAAGGAGCUGGAGGACACGAAUGCACCGAGAGCCUCGUGGAGGAGGCGAGCGCUCCUGAGCAGUAGCUGAGACUCUGACUGGACCCCGCACGGACCCCGUUCACUUUACGUCUGAGCUCUAUAGAGGGUGAACGCCCGAAGCAAGAAUGAGCUCCGGAGAAGCCCAAGGCCAUGCACAGAGCGCGUCAGUGACGGUUCUUCACUGAAGGCCACAAAACCUGAUUCCGGCUGAUAGGAGCUAAGAAGGAAUGCUGUGAAAGGGUAUCACGUAGCUCACAAGGCGGCUGGCCCGCAGGACUGGAAAACUAAAAGAAACAAAAGGUUCCCGUGCAGCUGGAACCACAGCCACAGAACCAGCCCAGAGACAGGGCUGCCGCCUUCUCCCUGACAAAGCCCAGAGAGCUCAGCAGGCACCUCCGAUAUUGCCCAUGGUGGAUGCUGGAUGUCGCUGCCACCACCAUCAUUGCUGCCACCACCACCACCACCAUCAUCACCACCACCACCAUCACCACCGUCACCACUACCACCACAGUGGCUGGAAAGAAUUUGCCCCUGUCCCAGCUUCACUGCCGUCACUGGCUCCUGAUUCAAAGUUGGAGGAGGCUGUGGAGGGAAGGAUCAGUCAGACACUGACGGCCAAGAAGGAGGAGGAAGAGGAGGAGAAGUGAGAAGAAACAAACACUCCAGCUUCAAACAUAUCUUGAAUAAGUCACUCCUGCUCUCCAGGCUUCAACCUCCUCUUCCAUCGUGACCGUCCACAUUGCGUGGGGGUCAUGGGAGGAAAUGGGUGAGAGUCCUGUCACUGGCAGCGUGGGUAAGUGGAAUCACCAUCCUGCGUGGUCAUCACCAUCAUCAUCUUAAGGAUUGUCCCUAACCCGGGGUUCCUCAACCUCUACAACUAACAUUUGGGGCCUGUGCAUUGUAGGAUGUUUAGCAGCAUCCUUGGCCUCUACCCACUUGAUGCCACCAGCGCCUCCUCUCCAACUGUGACAAUUGGCAGCCGCCUCUAGACAUUGCCAAAUAUCCCUGGGGCAGAGCUGCCUCUAGUUGAGACCACUGCUGUAAACACAGCUGCCUCAGUCCUCCUGUGGCCACUCUGCAAUAAAGGCCUAGACUUUCCCUCUGGAGAGGCUGGGCUCCUGCCAAGACAGGAGCACGCAGAGUCCUAGGGCGCCCUUUUGACUCCUGCUCAUGGAGGCAGAGAGGAGGAAAAGGGCAGUCUUAUGUCACCAAAUAUUUGCUAUUCUUUGAGCCCUGCGCAACCUGCCUUUGCUCACUUAGCAUGCUCUCCCUCACCCCAACCUCUCUCCACUUGUCCAAAUCUGACCCCUUCCCUCUAUCUCUGAACUGGCCAGCAUUUCUCCCUUUCAAGAUGCUCAGUGCCCUGGCCAGACAUGGUGGCUCACACCUGUAAUCCCAGCACUUUGGGAGGCCAAGGCAGGUGGAUCCCUUGAGGUCAGGAGUUCGAGACCAGCCUGGCCAACAUAGUGAAACCCCAUCUCUACUAAAAAUACAAAAAUUAGCCGGGUGUGGUGGCACGUGCCUGCAGAAUCCCAGCUACUCGGGAGGCUGCGGCGGGAGAAUCGCUUGAACACAGGAGGCGAAGGCUGCAGUGAGCCGAGACUGCACCAUUGCACUCCAGCCUGGGUGACAGAGUGAGACUCUGUCUCAAAAAAAAAAAAAAAAAAAAAAAAAAAAAAAAAAAAAAGCCGGGCAUGGUGGCACACACCUGACAUUCCAGCUACUCAGGGGGCUGAGGCAGGAGAACCACUUGAACCUGAACCCAGGAGGCAGAAGUUGCAGUGAGCUAAGAUUGUGCCGCUGCACUCCAGCCUGGGCAACAGAGCAAAACUCUGUCUCAAAAAUAAAUAAAUAAAUAAAUAAAUAAUGCUCAGUGUCCUAAUCCGAUACCACAUGUUACUCUGUGCUGUACCCCUGCAGUGGGGUGGGGAGGAGGAAAGCCAUACACCUACACUGAGAGGCAUCAUAAGACAUCGCCCUGUGAGGACCUUUGUGGAGAGGUGUUAGGGGGACAUGGCUCAUUUCAUCACGCAGCGCUCUCUCAAUUAGGACCCUCGGGAGAGAUGCCCAAACCACUCCUGAGCAACUGGUCAGUUUUUGUUUUAUGGACACCAGGAACUGGGCCUUUUCCCAGGCUUUCCUGUCCUGGAAGCUGUUAGAAAGCUUGGAGUCAAAUUUGGGGUUCACCCUCAUUAUAUGUAUAUUUAUGGUUCUCGUAGUUUAGUCUCAUUCCUGGCCCCUUUUUUAUGCCCUUACCCUUAUUUUUUCCUUUUAUUCCUUCUUUUAAAUUAUGUUCCCUUGUUAUGUUUUAUGUAUUAACACUUUCUGGCACAAAGCACAGUCUAAAUAAGAAGAUAGAUGUAGAUAAAGUAGCUCUGUCUCUCUCAUAUGAGAGCUAUGUAUUUUUAUAUCUUGUCUGGCUCUAAAUUAAUGUGAAUUUACUGAAAGCAGUAGUUGGAUCAGAUUCAUUUCUUGCCCACCAUCCCCACUCCUUCACUCCCUCCCCGGGAAUUCAGCCCAUUGCCCAUUACAUAUGGACACUCAGUCAGUAUUUGUUGCUCUGUUGAUGACUGGUUCUCUUAGACGCAACAAAUUCCUUCCCUCCCUCCUUUCUCCCUUCCUACCUUCUUUUCUUUCCUCCUUUUCUUCUCUAUCUCUUCCUUUUUUUUCCCCCGAAAAAUGAAGACAAAAAAGAGGAAACAGAUACGCUUUGGAAAGAACUCCCAAUGAGGUCCUUCACUAUAUUCACACCUUAGAAGAGCUGACACUUCAAUUCUCUUCUAAAACCUAAAACCUACAACAAGAGUCUAUCAAGUUCAUGCUGAAGAGUGGCUUCAGCCAGAAGAAGGAAAGCAGGGACUCCUGUGCAGAGCCCCAAGGCCUUCUUGAUGACACUGGUCUUGUCUGGGGAAGUAACAUUCCAGCCUUGUCAGCUCAUUAUCGUUUCUCUGAAAUCACUCUGCCUUUUCAUCUGGAUCCAGCAUUCUUCAGACUUUGCCUUCUCCUGGUGAGGCAUGUGUUACAUGAAAAAAGUAAAAUGCUACCCUCAGAGAAUAUUUGUUGAAUGAGUGAAUCCUAUUGAGGCAGGAAAAUAGGGUCUGGAGGCAGGAAACAUAAGAUACCCUCUCCAUAGGGCAUACACCGACUAAAUGACUUUGUAACUUUACUUCACCCUCUUUGUUUACAUAGAGCGUACUCCAAGUAGAGGGUAUUUAAACUCAUAAAAACUCUGUAAACAGGGCCUUUGAGCCCCUACACUCAGGCCCACUCCCACACUGUGGAGCGUGCUUUCAUUUUCAAUAAAACCCUUCAUUCUUU